GUGUCAUGAAAUCUCAACUACUAGGGUUUCCUAGUAAGCUUGGAUUUGGGUGUCUGCCUUGCGAAAGGCUCACCUUAAAAGUGUUAGCGUGUCUAAUCAGUGAUAUUGUCUGGCGUAAUAAGUUUCGCUGGGCUAGCU
Molecule: ribosomal RNA, 138 nt
Filed under: Bullera formosensis (nom. inval.)
Lineage: Eukaryota; Fungi; Basidiomycota; Tremellomycetes; Tremellales; Bulleraceae
Description: internal transcribed spacer 2
Source: RNAcentral